This 411-nucleotide long non-coding RNA is filed under the name Lupinus angustifolius (narrow-leaved blue lupine). RNAcentral's name for it is "long non-coding RNA (LANG_LNC001394)". The record is from RNAcentral. Lineage: Eukaryota; Viridiplantae; Streptophyta; Magnoliopsida; Fabales; Fabaceae.
AUUUCCAACCAACUGGCCCCACCACCACACCUUUCUCCUUACUCUACUUUAUUCUCAUGUCACAACUUCCGACAAAUUUGGUUCCCAAACCUACCAAAGGUCAAAAGCACAAAUUCUCUCACCAACUGACCCCACAAACUUAAAAAAUCAUCUAAUAACUCACUGACAAAUUUAUUGCCUAACGUUUCUCACUAUCAACAUCCUGUUUUCUCCCACUAACUUAACCUAGUAACAUAACAUAACCUGAAACUUUUCCUCAUCAUAACACUCUUUUAAACCUACUUCUAACUGCUACACUAACUCACCAACUUGCAAUACACUCUUCUUCAUCCAAUCCAUUAACAUCAAUAUCAAAUUCAUCAUUAUCUAUAUGUCUAACUUCCUAAUCAACAUUUCUCACCAUAACUAUCA